Long non-coding RNA from Oryzias melastigma (Indian medaka), 1313 nucleotides. RefSeq lists it as uncharacterized. The transcript is spliced from 2 exons. Lineage: Eukaryota; Metazoa; Chordata; Actinopteri; Beloniformes; Adrianichthyidae. The record is from RefSeq and is a predicted model, not a curated record.
AAUUUAAAAAUUUAUUUUAUAUUUUGAAAACUUUAAUAUUACUUUUUGUCUAAAGUACAGUCUGUGUGUUGGGGAGGGGGGGGACUCUGUGAUGCUUCUUCAUGUAUUUCUCCUGAAAAUCCUCUCAAAGCUGAAGUUCUCCCGCAUGUUUCAGCCUCUCAAUCUUCCACUUCUGUGAUUGGAUCAGAACUCUGAACAACCAGCUCGUUUACAAAUGAAGGGCGGCGACGUCUGUCGGGUCACCGCUGACCCGGACUGAGAGGUCAUUUACACACUCAGCAUCACCUCUCCGCUCGCUGCGCUUCUGCUGCAAACAGAAACGUGCAUCUCACCUCAUUUUCCUCUGGAUGAGCGGAACCGCCUCUAAAGUUCCUUCACUUUGGUUCCGAGGAAUGAAAAGAUCCGGAUCCCGGGAAAGAAGCGGCACUUCUGGGCCUUUCGGGGGGAAAAUCCCGCAGCUGAGCCGGGAGGAUGUGCAGAUGUUGUCGCUGGAUGACAGGGCGCGGAAACGCCUUCCUGUUCGGUUCUGAUAGUGUUUCGGGUUCGGUCGUGUUCGGAGGUGUCGGUAGGUUCGGUCGGAGUCAUUUCAGUGAGCGACACGCCGCUUUCAGAGGGACACGCCGGGCGGAGCGGCCGACGGCGGCUGCGGAGGUGCCAUCUUUUCCUGCCUCCGACCAGCAGGGGGCAGUGCGGAGCGGACGGAAGAGGCGUUGGAGCUGCGCGACGGCGCCCUCUGGUGGCCGAACUGCGAAUAACAACCCGAAAUUUUUGGAUUUUUCUCAGUAAAUCUGCGCAGGAGCUGCAGAAACUUCAAACUAUAGUUAAUAGAAAUGUAGAAACAUAAUAUAAAAAAGAAAUUGAGCAUCUUUUGAGUUUAUAUGCAGAAUUUCCGCAAAAAAGCUCAACAUAAACCAAUGAAAUUGUUUUAUUUAAUAUUUUUAUUGCUAAUUGCUUUGAUGUUUUUUUGUCUAUUUUUAUGUAUUUACUGGACUUUAUGUCUCAAUUAUAAUUGAUUUUUUUUACUUUAGCCUUUUUAAUGAUUAUUUCAUACUAUUAUUAUUCAUUUUUCCUAAUAUUUCUUACAUUAUUUUCAACAUUUCCUUGUUGAAUAUGUCAAUGUUUCUGCACUCUAAUCAAUAAUAGGGGAAUAAAAUCCAUCCUUUUUUCUAAUCCUCCCCUACAUAAACACACCUGUCUUUGAUCAUCAGGCUUUUGCAGAACCUGAUGAUGAUCGGAGUCAGGUGUUCUCGAAGACCAGCGUUGGGAAGUUCUGCAAUAAAUGACGAUAAACUGUCGGUGGAAUAAAAAAAAAA